GGCGGACGUGGCCAAGUGGAUUAAGGCAG
Molecule: transfer RNA, 29 nt
Filed under: Sphagnum angustifolium
Lineage: Eukaryota; Viridiplantae; Streptophyta; Sphagnopsida; Sphagnales; Sphagnaceae
Also listed under: 21 other names
Description: partial tRNA-His
Source: RNAcentral